AAAGAACUAUACAAGCUCAGAGACAACAGCAGUCUAGCUAUUAAUGUCCAAAUGUUAGAUGUAAGCAUCCCUGGACCAAAGAGUUGUCAAGGGAAUAAAACGAGCAAGUGGCAAAGUCAGGCCUGAACCAAGUUUCCAGACUCCAGAUGCAGAUUUCUUCCUCCCUCUAUGCCAGCGAGGCAGCCGUAUCCAUGACUUAACUUCCACAUCUCGCCAGCACGUCACCUGUAUAAUCCAGGGCUGUCUACCUAGGAUCACCGGUGUGUUGAACUAAAGAAUCUGAAAAGCCUGAGAUUGUGUUUGCUAGGGUUGGUAUUUAAGCCUGUCUGAAUAUGCCACUUUCUAGCCAA
This 350-nucleotide long non-coding RNA is filed under the name Homo sapiens (human). RNAcentral's name for it is "HSALNT0206349". Lineage: Eukaryota; Metazoa; Chordata; Mammalia; Primates; Hominidae. The record is from RNAcentral.